AGUGAACGCUGGCGGUGGGCCUAACACAUGCAAGUCGAACGGCAGCACAGUAAGAGCUUGCUCUUACGGGUGGCGAGUGGCGGACAGGUGAGGAAUACAUCGGAAUCUACUUUUUCGUGGGGGAUAACGUAGGGAAACUUACGCUAAUACCGCAUACGACCUACGGGUGAAAGCAGGGGAUCUUCGGACCUUGCGCGAUUGAAUGAGCCGAUGUCGGAUUAGCUAGUUGGCGGGGUAAAGGCCCACCAAGGCGACGAUCCGUAGCUGGUCUGAGAGGAUGAUCAGCCACACUGGAACUGAGACACGGUCCAGACUCCUACGGGAGGCAGCAGUGGGGAAUAUUGGACAAUGGGCGCAAGCCUGAUCCAGCCAUACCGCGUGGGUGAAGAAGGCCUUCGGGUUGUAAAGCCCUUUUGUUGGGAAAGAAAAGCAGCAGGUUAAUACCCCGCUGUUCUGACGGUACCCAAAGAAUAAGCACCGGCUAACUUCGUG
Molecule: ribosomal RNA, 492 nt
Filed under: uncultured bacterium
Lineage: Bacteria
Description: partial 16S ribosomal RNA
Rfam family: Bacterial small subunit ribosomal RNA
Source: RNAcentral